Zonotrichia albicollis (white-throated sparrow) is the source of this 5537-nucleotide non-coding RNA. Lineage: Eukaryota; Metazoa; Chordata; Aves; Passeriformes; Passerellidae. The record is from RefSeq and is a predicted model, not a curated record.
GGGACGGACGCAGGGCUGCGGCUGCGGGAGGGGAGGCAGGCUGCGGCAGUGUGCGGCUUCGUGUCAUGUCGCUGUCAGAAAACGCUCGAUCUCAACACAAUUCUAAAUAAGAUGAGGGAUGGCAGGUGAUGGUAUUCAGACUACGAACUGUUUCCUGUCCUGCCUCAGUAUUUCUUUUUUGUAAGAUUUUAACUGUGGUUGUAGACUUAGGCAAAAUACAUGUUAGAAUGCAAACCAGUAAUUGUUUCAGAUGAUCUCUGGUUUGAAGGAGCACCUCAAGAUUUUGCAAGACCUCUUUACCAGCAUCCUUCCUCUCUAAGGUGUCUAACUGAAAUGAGGUUUCAGAGAUGUUGAAGAUCUAAUGUCUUUUAAGCUUCUUAUGAGAAAUGUUCGCUUCUUGCAAGUUUCGUGUAGUAGGUGCUCGUGUUACACCAGUUGUUAUAGUACUAAAGAUACUUUAGUACAAUGUAAUAGCAGCUGAAAUUUGUGAUAAUGUGUUUUCUAUAGUUUCAUUUAGACGCAGGUGUGCCCUUCUAGAAUUAAAUGUCUCUUAGUUUCUUAUGGUUUACACAAGCUAUAUCUAGCAUUUCACUGGCUACACUGAGUGUUGCUGUUGGUUGAAUAUAUCCUGUGUAAAAUUGUGUCCCUCCAAGGCAUAAGAACCCAGCAUCUGCAAUUGUUCCACCAAAUUCUGUUGGAGCUGUAAAAGUCUUCCAGUGUAAUAACUUUUCAUUAACCCGCAAACUGUGGAAUGCUCUUAUGGAAUAUUGGCAUGAUGAGAAAUUAUUCUCUUUGGGAUGCAUGGUGGUUUUUCCAGUUAGAUGUAUUGUUUUAGAGACUUUUUCCAGGUUUGAGGAGAAAUGAUGAAACUUAACUUGCUUCCAGAUGCAAAAAAUUGCCUUUGUUAUGCAUCACCAUUAAGUGACUUCCUUUACCGAAGGAAACAUCAUGAGGCUGUUACUGGUACAUCUAUCUCACCAACAUCUCUCUGUUGCUUUCUUACUGUCCACAUUUUUUUGAAGUGGACAUUUCUCAGAGCUUUCUCAGUAAUAAUGCAAGCUUUCACACCUUGUUUAAAUUAAAAACAAACAAACCAACCAAUUUACAGUGGGCUGUUCAUGUUAAUCCCAAUAUAGCAUUUAACAGUGAGCAAGUUCUGCAGGCUGUAAGGGGCAGAGACUGAGCCCUUACAUUGGCAGAACUAUUUUGUUAAUGUAACAGCAAUGCACGCAGACUUGCUUUUUGUGAAAUUAGCAGAAAAACUUACAUGAUUUGAGUGGCGUAGCGUUAAGACCUUUGAAAUUUGUCCUUCUUUUAGUGUAAAUUGACACAGACUUUUAUCUGCCUGUCUCACUUUUAAAAUGCUAGGUUUGGCAAAUAGAGUCUUAUGGGGAGGGUAGCAAUAUAGUUCAUGUGAAUUUUCCAGCUAGGGAGCAUGGCACACAGACUAGAGGUAUCAGUGUAGUUUAAGCACUAUCUUUUAACAGUAGAUUUAUUAUUAUAUUCAACAUACAGUGUGGACAUGCACAAUAGUGAGGAAAAGGGCUAACAUGGGAUUGGUUUCGUCCUUUUAGAAGAGAGAACCUUUUGGACAUUCUUAAUAUUUAUAUGAAAGUUUUCUCCCAUAUGUCUACAACUGAGCAUUAAUAACAGGUGCAUAGUAGCUGUUAGCAUGUAACUAGUAUUCAAGUAGUUAAUGCAAGGAAUAUGUGUAAUCCAAACCUUCAUGUGUCAAGGUGGCGUUAACCUGUGAAUUUUUCACUGUUUUUGAAGUCAGUGUUUAAGAAGUAAAAUAUUCAUAGUAUUUUUUUACAUUGUCUUUUUUUUUUCCCAUACUAAAAGAAGUUAACGGUACAUUUUUUUCUGUUUUUUCCAGCAGGAUUUAAACUUCCCUUGUGCAGUAGGAAUACUGAUUUUGACCUUAUUUCAGCUGGAUGAAAUUCAGUUCUGGAGCCAGAGUCCAACAAUGCUAAUGUUGAAGAAAACAAACUAUUAGCUUGAAAAUGUUAGAAUGAAUUUUCCAUUACAAGGGGUGUUCCUCCGUAUUAGGGGGGAAGUGUUGUUUUAUGAAUCAUCACUACAUUUCUCAUUGUCUAGAAGGAGUGCUUGGAACUGAGGUGAUACACUCAGUGGUCUUUGCACAGACAUGCUUGUAUUAUUUUAGCUGUUGCAAAGAGAAGCACAAGUCCCAUAAUAUUCUGUCGUGAUUGUAUUUAAACUAUAUUGUUGAAGGAAUUUUCUGUUCAUAAUCUGUUUAAAAAUUGUGCUCAUACUCUUUUAUUGUUCAGUUGCUAAGCUUAUGCAGGUACAAAUUUAUACUAUUUACCACCCCUUAUACUUUUAUAAAUAACAAAUCUGUGCUGGAUUUUUCUCAUAUUUCCGUAAGUUCUUCUACUCAUUCCAUUCUCCACAGUUCAAGCUGGGUCCUUUUGUUUUCCCAACUGCAGGAACCCUCUAGAUGAGACAGAAAUCUCUAAUAUAGCUUGUGCCAGCUUUGUGGAUCAGAAACUUUUCUAUUUUAAUUUCUUCCACAUAUGAGGAUGAUGCAUUUUCUAUGAGGUUUUUGUCUUUGUUUGAGUUGAUUAUGUCUGUGUUCUCUUAUGCUGCAAGUGGCAGAUUUUCCUCAAGUGAUAAUGUUAGCAAAUAACAGUAUACAAUCUUUGGAAAUUAAAUGAUCUGUUAGUUUCCAGAAAAUGCUGCACAAAUUUAAUCUUCUAUUGCUAUGACAAUUAGAAUAAUGAAAGGAUAUAUUCUUAGGACUUUGGGUCAAGGUGUACAUCUUCUAGUGCUUGCAGACUGCCUCUUGUGUUAAAGGAUCUGCCUGGCUGAGCUCUCAACAGUUUGUCUAAGAAAAAGGUGGAGGACUGUGGGUUCUGGUCUUUGAGGGAAGGGUGUCUUUCAGUAGUUUAUAAAAUUUGGUUUUGUCAGUGCCUGUGCUUCUUUGACCAGGAUUUAAAGUAAGUUUUUGGAGGCAUUGCAUGUUUAUAGGACUGAAAUCAUCAUGCUCCCAAGCUGAGGCUGAAAGGUGAGGUAUGGAGAGCCUGUGUAUUCUGCUGUGUCAAUGCACCUGCCUUAAUUUGAGCUGGUCAUAUUAGUCACAUGCAGUGCAGAAAAACAGACAUCAGUAGGCAGCAUUUUCUUAUGAAUUGUUCCACUUACUGAUCAAUAAACUUUCUCACUGACAGUCUUUAAAUAUGUGUCUAGUUUAAUAUCAGAGUCUUUGUAUGAAUAAUUUGUGCAAUCAUUGUUGCCUUUUCUCCUGGUGCUAAUAUUCCAAGACUCUCAGAAGUCCAUGAGAAUAAUUUAUGAUUGAAAAGAAUAUUUUCUUCCAUAAGUAACUCACCUCUCCAUCAAAACUGGUACUAGCCCAAGAUUCUGCCAUAUGAGCAGUCAUGAUGCAUGCUAGGGCCAUUUCUGUAAAGUAUGGGUAAAAUCUUUUGAAUGAAUUUAAGACUCAGAAUAUCUCUUGAGUGCAUAACUUUCUGGAGCUGUGAUUAUUCAGGCUUUUGUUUCUGAUUUCCUUGUGCAGAUGAAACCUGUGACCUCAGCAUAUGUUCUUGUUGCUUGAAAAUGCAACAUGAACAAUACAAUUCUUGUGAAAAGUAUUUUUCCAGGACCUCUUUGGCUUCUGUCAUUUUUCAGAUGGGAUUUUAAUUUUUUUUUUUUAAUUUUGACAUAUAACUUUCUUUGUCCAUCAACUGGAAAGCAGUUGCUAGACACAGCAGAGCUAGCUUGGCUCACCUCAAAUAAGAAGCGUCAGGUGGAAUUUUUUAGUACUACCCAUCUUUAGAAAAAGGCUCAGAGACUUGAAAUUUCUAUUUCCCACUAUCAUCAUACUUUGCAAAGAAAGAUCAAGACCUCAUAGGGAGUUAUUUCACAAAGAGGAGGAUGUGUAGUAGUGUCAAAUAUCAAAGAUGUAUUAGGAUAUUGAAGAUGGUUGGGGGAGACUUGGGAGAAGAAAGUUAGUGCAACUGGAAUCUUUUGGCCUUUUUUGUGAUCAGUAGCACUGCUGUGUUAACAGAACAGGUCUGUUUCAAAUAUUUUAACUUCCAUUGUAAUAACUUGCAAAUGUUCAAGUGAUAUUUUGUUUCUUGGAUAGACAUUUCCCAUUCUCAUUCCCUUGGGGAAAUUCUUUCACCUUAAAAAAGUCUAGAACUUCUUCCUUUUAGUUACAUAGACACACAGCAUUUUCACUGUUUAAAUGUUAUUAGGAAACUCUUUAAUUUUGAUCUUGAAUUUUAAUCUUAAUUUUGAUCUUGGAUUUGACUGAAGAAUGAAAGAUGGUUGUCUUUGAGAUGUGGGAUCUGUUUCAGCCUUUUCUGUCUGCUCCCGGUCAGCAGAAUAUCUCUGCUUCACUUGCCUGGGUCCAAUUUUUUUCUGUACAAAAUUAGCUUUGCCUAGAGCUCUAAACUGAUGAUACAGGUAAACUUAUAAAUAAAACUAUAAUGUAAGUCGCCCAUUAGCUUUUGACAUGUAUAUGUACCUGGAAGAGUUCUUUCUUUUCCGCUGUGCCUUGCACUCAAUUUUCAGUGGUUUUCUACCAGAAGUAAGUACCUUAUGCUUUUUUUUUCUGAUCAGAAAAUGAGCAAAUAUUCUUACAACUUUUCUUUAGGAUAGCUCUGUUUUAGUUUGUUGACGAUCUUUUUAAAUCAAUCACUUUUAUCUACAAAACAGUUUCUAACUGGCCUUGCACGUGCUAAUGUGUCAUUUCCAACCCUUUCAGAAAUAUUUGUGUGAUACAGUUUCCUGUGGCAUUCGCCAUUAAUUUCUCCUGCUGUGACAUGUUUCUAGCACACACAAAAUAAAGCUGUUUGUUUACUCACACUGCCGUAAAAAUCAAACAGUUCGAACCCUUCGGUUACUUGCCCAUCUGCUACCAGAGGUAAUUCGAAACUGCCUUUGCUUGGUUUCCCAACAGGGGCUGUUUAUUAAUCCAGCCAUCUCUGUCCACCGUGUCUCCUGCGGCUCAGUUCCAGCAGAACUGCCUUCUCCAACCUGCCUUGCAUCCUGCCACCGUGGCAGGUGUGGCAGAGGGAACAGCUUUGUUGCCAUCUGGAAUUAUUUCUGUCUUUCCAACUCAAUGAACUGCUGGGGUUUUUAAUCUCUUAUCUGAAAAUUUCUUGACUGUUCUGUGUAUCCAAACUGCCCUUACCUUCUGACAGUCUUUAACUUUGUGUUUGGUGUGUGUUUUAUGUUUGGUAAUUUCCUAUGGUUCUUACUAUACUGCAACUUGAACUCUUGUCUUUCAUGCAAAAUGGAUUUUCCUUUGAAGAUGCUCAACUGUGACAUGAUCUCAACUGUCUUGGUUUUAUAAUUAUGAAAGGCUUCUAAACUGGGAUUUAAGUGAGAGUAAGAAAAAUGUAGAAAAGUUAUCUCACCAUUUCCAUGGUUGAAGUGAAACUUUGCCAGUGGUACGGAAGUACGCAGUUUUGAUGAAUUGUGAUCUGCAAAGCAUUGCUCAGUUGGAGUUCUGCCUUCCUCUGCUUCUGGUGCAAAAUUGACAGCUGUUCUUCUUUCAAAUAGGAGAGAUCACCUCA